CCUACGGGAGGCAGCAGUGAGGAAUAUUGGUCAAUGGGCGCAAGCCUGAACCAGCCAAGUCGCGUGAGGGAUGACGGUCCUAUGGAUUGUAAACCUCUUUUGUCGGGGAGCAAGGCCCGCCACGUGUGGCGGGAAGGAGAGUACCCGACGAAAAAGCAUCGGCUAACUCCGUGCCCGCGGCCGCGGUAAUACGGAGGAUGCGAGCGUUAUCCGGAUUUAUUGGGUUUAAAGGGCGUGUAGCCGGGCUGACAAGUCAGAUGUGAAAUCCGAGGGCUCAACCCCCGAACUGAAUUUGAAACUGGGAUGCUUGAGUAUGUUUGAGGCAGGCGGAAUGCGUGGUGUAGCGGUGAAAUGCUGAGAUAUCACGCAGAACCCCGAUUGCGAAGGCAGCCUGCCAAGCCAUGACUGACGCUGAUGCACGAAAGCGUGGGGAUCAAACAGGAUUAGAGACCCUAGUAGUC
RNAcentral lists this ribosomal RNA (461 nucleotides) under uncultured bacterium. Its description in RNAcentral is "partial 16S ribosomal RNA". It matches the Rfam family "Bacterial small subunit ribosomal RNA", at positions 338 to 795 of the family's 1533-position model. The record is from RNAcentral.